GCGAAAUCGCGCACCUAACUAAUGACUACAUAAUUUAGAACCCAACCUAAAGAUUGUAUAAAGUUACAGUUCUUCUAUAUCCUCAAGUGAAUCAAACUCUUCAUUAAUACGACGAAGUUCUUCAUCAUCAAUAGUAACUGUGCUAAACCAUUUAGGUUGAGAAUGACCCCAUGGCAUUAUUGGCGGGUCACUAGUUUUCAAACUCUGCUCAUUGGAUACCUCUGCAUCUUCUGGCUCUGUUUGCUUUUCUUUUUUAGGUUGGUUAAACAGCUGGGACUUCAUCUCCCAGCAAACUUUCAGGUCUUCCUCAUUUCGAGCUUUGUUCAACUUAUCCAUCAGAUCAGCGAAUGCCGCAACAUGCUCAGCUUCAGCGGUCUUGGCCUUUUUCUUUUUGCCAAGUGCAUCUAGAUCAUUAAGGUCAGUAGCAUUGUCACCUGCCUCCAACUUCCUCCCCUUCCUCAAUCCCUGAUCUAUGACAUAUUGCAUCCUCUUUCUGGUAUUCUCUAUUCUAACUGGAUCUGACCUAAGCUGUAGCUUCACCCGGUUCAUCAUUGCUUCAUUCUCAUCUUCUGUCGAACCAUCCUCAUUAUUCUCAUCCUCUGCAGAAUUCACUCCAAACACCUCUUCUAAUAGACCAAUAUUCUGCAUGUACCGAUCAAAAGCUUCAUUUUCA
Molecule: unclassified non-coding RNA, 673 nt
Filed under: Hevea brasiliensis (rubber tree)
Lineage: Eukaryota; Viridiplantae; Streptophyta; Magnoliopsida; Malpighiales; Euphorbiaceae
Source: RNAcentral